AAGUCGUAACAAGGUUUCCGUAGGUGAACCUGCGGAAGGAUCAUUACAGAGUUCAUGCCCCUCGGGGUAGAUCUCCCACCCGUGUGUAUCAUUAUCGGCUGUUGCUUUGGCGGGCCGCGUGCCUCGCACGCCUGGACCUCGGUCCGGCGCGCCCGCCAGAGGACCCCCCAAACUCUGAAUGUUAGUGUCGUCUGAGUACUAUUAAAUAGUUAAAACUUUCAACAACGGAUCUCUUGGUUCUG
This 242-nucleotide unclassified non-coding RNA is filed under the name Lachnum sp. RNAcentral's name for it is "partial internal transcribed spacer region". The stretch from base 1 to 46 matches the Rfam family "Eukaryotic small subunit ribosomal RNA", at positions 1786 to 1831 of the family's 1831-position model. Lineage: Eukaryota; Fungi; Ascomycota; Leotiomycetes; Helotiales; Lachnaceae. The record is from RNAcentral.